RNAcentral lists this ribosomal RNA (497 nucleotides) under uncultured bacterium. RNAcentral describes it as "partial 16S ribosomal RNA". It matches the Rfam family "Bacterial small subunit ribosomal RNA", at positions 28 to 507 of the family's 1533-position model. The record is from RNAcentral.
GAUGAACGCUGGCGGCGUGCCUAAUACAUGCAAGUCGAGCGGACAGACGAGGAGCUGGCUCCACUGACGUUAGCGGCGGACGGGUGAGUAACACGUGGAUAACCUACCUAUAAGACUGGGAUAAAUUCGGGAAACCGGAGCUAAUACCGGGAAAUAUAUUGGACCGCAGGGUGCAAUAGUGAAAGACGGGUUGGCGGUGGAUUCUAGAUGGAUCCGCGCCGCAUUAGCUAGUUGGUAAGGUAACGGCUUACCAAGGCAACGAUGGGUAGCCGACGUGAGAGGGUGAUCCCCCACACUGGAACUGAGACACGGUCCAGACUCCUACGGGAGGCAGCAGUAGGGAAGCUUCCGCAAUGGGCGGAAGCCUGACGGAGCAACGCCGCGUGAGUGAUGAAGGUCUUCGGAUCGUAAAACUCUGUUAUUGUGGAAGAACAAAUUUGUAAGUAACGAUGCACGUCUUGACGGUAGCUAGUCAGAAAGCCCCGGCUAACUACGUG